GACGACGCUGGCGGCGUGCCUAACACAUGCAAGUCGAGCGGGGUUGAAGCAGGGGUAACUCAAGCUUCUACCUAGCGGCGGACGGGUGAGUAACGCGUGGGCAACCUGCCUCAAGGUCUGGGAUAACAGCUCGAAAGGGCUGCUAAUACCGGAUAUGCCUAUGGCCUCGCAUGGGGCUAUGAGCAAAGGGGAAACCUGCCUUGAGAUGGGCCCGCGUCCCAUCAGCUAGUUGGUGAGGUAACAGCUCACCAAGGCGACGACGGGUAGCCGGCCUGAGAGGGUGACCGGCCACACUGGGACUGAGACACGGCCCAGACUCCUACGGGGGGCAGCAGUGGGGGAUCUUGCACAAUGGGCGAAAGCCUGAUGCAGCGACGCCGCGUGAGCGAAGAAGGCCUUCGGGUUGUAAAGCUCUGUCUGGAGGGACGAAGGAAGUGACGGUACCUCCGGAGGAAGCCACGGCUAACUACGUG
This 473-nucleotide ribosomal RNA is filed under the name uncultured bacterium. RNAcentral describes it as "bacterial SSU rRNA". It matches the Rfam family "Bacterial small subunit ribosomal RNA", at positions 33 to 507 of the family's 1533-position model. The record is from RNAcentral.